Molecule: ribosomal RNA, 253 nt
Filed under: uncultured bacterium
Lineage: Bacteria
Description: partial 16S ribosomal RNA
Rfam family: Bacterial small subunit ribosomal RNA
Source: RNAcentral
UACAGAGGGUGCAAGCGUUAUUCGGAAUUACUGGGCGUAAGGCGCGCGUAGGUGGUUUGUUAAGUUGAAUGUGAAAUCCCCGGGCUCAACCUGGGAACUGCAUCCAAAACUGGCAAGCUAGAGUAGGGUAGAGGGUGGUGGAAUUUCCUGUGUAGCGGUGAAAUGCGUAGAUAUAGGAAGGAACACCAGUGGCGAAGGCGACCACCUGGACUCAUACUGACACUGAGGUGCGAAAGCGUGGGGAGCAAACAGG